This 60-nucleotide transfer RNA is filed under the name Phrynocephalus versicolor. RNAcentral describes it as "tRNA-Pro". The record is from RNAcentral. Lineage: Eukaryota; Metazoa; Chordata; Lepidosauria; Squamata; Agamidae.
CAGGAGAUAAUAUAAUUAAAAUGGGGGUUGGGGGCCCCAGUUGGGCUUGCCCUCUUUUGA